UACGUAGGCAGCGAGCGUUGUUCGGAGUUACUGGGCGUAAAGAGUGCGUAGGCGGUGCUCUAAGUUUGGUGUGAAAUCUCCCGGCUCAACUGGGAGGGUGCGCCGAAAACUGGAGUGCUCGAGUGUGGGAGAGGUAAGCGGAAUUCCUGGUGUAGCGGUGAAAUGCGUAGAUAUCAGGAGGAACACCUGCGGUGUAGACGGCUUACUGGACCAUGACUGACGCUGAGGCACGAAAGCGUGGGUAG
Molecule: ribosomal RNA, 245 nt
Filed under: uncultured bacterium
Lineage: Bacteria
Description: partial 16S ribosomal RNA
Rfam family: Bacterial small subunit ribosomal RNA
Source: RNAcentral